Molecule: ribosomal RNA, 424 nt
Filed under: uncultured bacterium
Lineage: Bacteria
Description: bacterial SSU rRNA
Rfam family: Bacterial small subunit ribosomal RNA
Source: RNAcentral
GGGCCCGCACAAGCGGAGGAGCAUGUGGUUUAAUUCGAUGAUACGCGAGGAACCUUACCAAGGCUUAAAUGUAAUAUGACCGGUUGAGAGAUCAACCUUUUUUCGAACAGAUUACAAGGUGCUGCAUGGUUGUCGUCAGCUCGUGCCGUGAGGUGUCGGGUUAAGUCCCAUAACGAGCGCAACCCCUAUUUUUAGUUACCAGCGAGUAAUGUCGGGAACUCUAGAAAAACUGCCUGUGCAAACAGAGAGGAAGGUGGGGAUGACGUCAAAUCAUCACGGCCCUUAUGUCUUGGGCUACACACGUGCUACAAUGGUUACUACAAUGUGAUGCCAUCUGGUGACAGAGAGCUAAUCAAUAAAGGUAAUCUCAGUUCGGAUCGGAGUCUGCAACUCGACUCUGUGAAGUUGGAUUCGCUAGUAAUCG